Molecule: ribosomal RNA, 19 nt
Filed under: Beauveria scarabaeidicola
Lineage: Eukaryota; Fungi; Ascomycota; Sordariomycetes; Hypocreales; Cordycipitaceae
Description: partial 28S ribosomal RNA
Source: RNAcentral
AACUUCUGAACGUUGACCU